This 635-nucleotide ribosomal RNA is filed under the name uncultured bacterium. RNAcentral describes it as "bacterial SSU rRNA". It matches the Rfam family "Bacterial small subunit ribosomal RNA", at positions 215 to 847 of the family's 1533-position model. The record is from RNAcentral.
UCGGAAGAGGAUGGGCAUGCGGCGCAUUAGCUAGACGGCGGGGUAACGGCCCACCGUGGCGACGAUGCGUAGGGGUUCUGAGAGGAAGGUCCCCCACACUGGUACUGAGACACGGACCAGACUCCUACGGGAGGCAGCAGUGAGGAAUAUUGGUCAAUGGGAGAGAUCCUGAACCAGCCAAGCCGCGUGAGGGAAGACGGCCCUAUGGGUUGUAAACCUCUUUUGUCGGAGAACAAAACCCGGGACGUGUCCCGGACUGCGUGUAUCCGAAGAAAAAGCAUCGGCUAACUCCGUGCCAGCAGCCGCGGUAAUACGGAGGAUGCGAGCGUUAUCCGGAUUUAUUGGGUUUAAAGGGUGCGUAGGCGGUCCGUUAAGUCAGCGGUAAAAUUGCGGGGCUCAACCCCGUCGAGCCGUUGAAACUGGCAGACUUGAGUUGGCGAGAAGUACGCGGAAUGCGCGGUGUAGCGGUGAAAUGCAUAGAUAUCGCGCAGAACUCCGAUUGCGAAGGCAGCGUACCGGCGCCAGACUGACGCUGAGGCACGAAAGCGUGGGGAUCGAACAGGAUUAGAUACCCUGGUAGUCCACGCAGUAAACGAUGAAUGCUGGUUGUCCGGGUCGAAUGAGAUCUGGGCGGC